CAGUGUCUGGGGGGCAAUGGUGUCACACAGGCAGAGAGAAGAGUGAACGGCAGCAGAAGCUGCCAGCCAUGGAAGGCGCAAUCGGGCAGUAAAUAAGGAGUGGUCAGAGCACACUGAAGUUUAGAGAAAUGCUUCCCCAGGUGGUAAGAAAAGGGCUCGGGCAGAACCCAGCGGCCCCCUAGGAUGACCUCGAGCGCCGCAACUCCCGACCGACGGGAACCACGGCUGAAGCGGCGGCACGGACGAGCCCCCCCCGGAUCGCUUCUGCGCUGGCGGCUUUUCACCUAAACAGUUCCCACAGCGGCACCAUCGGCUCAGCGGCACCAGCGCUAAUGCGGACGGGUUCGGUGACCACGGCCGCUUUCACCAAGGCCCGCCCGGCCGGAGAAAGGGGCUCCCGGCUGGGCGGUUACGCGGCGGGGGCAGCCCGAGAGCAGCGCCGCCUGUCACCUGAACAGCGGCUCCGGGUCGCUCGGCACAGUCCCAAAGUAGUUAUGCCAUGCGAUGGUCGAGGGACAUUACAUCGGGCACAUCACCAGCUACCAACAGUACCAGGAGGCGUGAGCCAGAGUGACAUCAUUCUCCCACUACAAGAAAGGGACCAACUGACCUUCUCCCUUGGAUCAUAUGAACUGGAACCAUAAACUCCCUAAACAUUAAAUCUCGCCAAAUGAGGGUCAAUCCAUCCUCAUCAUCAUAUCCACUCAUUAUACUCCACACUCGAACACAAUCACUCUAUGAACUUCAUACCCUCAUAUCUCAAUGUCUGUACUUUGACCCAUCAACCUUUUACCCCCAAUCGGGGAUAUUACAGAUUAUGUAUUCCUCAUGCCACCUGAUCUUAAGCCAAAUUUUGCACCUUUGAUAAUCUGUAUGUUAUUCCUUGAUAACCAGAAACUUCUAUGCUCAAACUUUUUUUUAACAUCUUAAUAAAAUUUUAAAAUCUA
Molecule: long non-coding RNA, 947 nt
Organism: Malaclemys terrapin pileata
Lineage: Eukaryota; Metazoa; Chordata; Testudines; Emydidae
Exons: 2
Source: RefSeq, a predicted model, not a curated record